AGGGCCAUGGCUCAGUGGUAGAACAUCUGCUUGGCAUGCAGGGAGUUCCAGAUUCAAUUUCUGAUGUCUCUA
Molecule: transfer RNA, 72 nt
Filed under: Sphaerodactylus townsendi
Lineage: Eukaryota; Metazoa; Chordata; Lepidosauria; Squamata; Sphaerodactylidae
Description: tRNA-Ala
Rfam family: tRNA
About the family: Transfer RNA (tRNA) molecules are approximately 80 nucleotides in length. Their secondary structure includes four short double-helical elements and three loops (D, anti-codon, and T loops).
Source: RNAcentral